AUUGAACGCUGGCGGCAUGCCUAACACAUGCAAGUCGAACGGAUGGUUUCGGCCAUCAGUGGCGCACGGGUGAGUAACGCGUGGGAAUCUGCCCAGCAGUGGGGGAUAACCUCUGGAAACGGAGGCUAAUACCGCAUACGCCCCUCGGGGGAAAGGCUUGCUGCUGCUGGAGGAGCCCGCGUCGGAUUAGGUAGUUGGUGGGGUAACGGCCUACCAAGCCUGUGAUCCGUAGCUGGUCUGAGAGGAUGAUCAGCCACACUGGGACUGAGACACGGCCCAGACUCCUACGGGAGGCAGCAGUGGGGAAUAUUGGACAAUGGGGGCAACCCUGAUCCAGCAAUGCCGCGUGAGUGAUGAAGGCCUUCGGGUUGUAAAGCUCUUUCGCCCACGACGAUGAUGACGGUAGUGGGAGAAGAAGCCCCGGCUAACUUCGUG
RNAcentral lists this ribosomal RNA (435 nucleotides) under uncultured bacterium. Its description in RNAcentral is "bacterial SSU rRNA". It matches the Rfam family "Bacterial small subunit ribosomal RNA", at positions 30 to 507 of the family's 1533-position model. The record is from RNAcentral.